UAGGGAGGAGGGUCCUGGGGAAGUCAAAGCUUCCACACCUGUUCUCAAAGCCCCUCUGAGGUAUCCCCUCCCAGAUUCCAGAUCAGGUUUGGGGCUCCCAGGAGCCCUCGCUUUCUCCCCAAUAACCUCCUCCCCUGGCUCCGGGUCCUGCCCUUUGGGCUACAUGGCACAGCCUGUUUCCCUGGCCCUGUGAAGGUCCCUCCAGAGGCUGCUCUGCUCCAAGGCACACACAGACCCCAGGCCUGGCCUCCCUGAGUUGUUCCUCCCUACCAUGGCCUCUAUCCCCUGUGCGGUCUCAUCCGGAGUAAGCCUGAAGCUCGUCUUGUGAAGCCACCAUCACAUUGGCUCUUUCAGCAAUAAGCCUAAGAAAUGUAGUCUCCUCAGGCCCACGAGGUCCUCUAGAACCCCCAGAUCUUUGUGCCAACUCGUCUUUCUCCAGCUGAAGUGCUACAGCCUCUUGGUCUAUCCAUGUAGAGCUGUGAUGGCAUCAAGAAGGAAGUGAGACGCCCCUGGGACACUCCCAGGAGGGAGCAGAGGCUCUGGGGCUCCUGGCAGGGUUGUAAACUCCAGCACUGGUCGACAAUCUCUUCACUGGAGGCAUCUGGCACCUAGAGGACCCUGUGGAAGCCAU
Molecule: long non-coding RNA, 631 nt
Filed under: Homo sapiens (human)
Lineage: Eukaryota; Metazoa; Chordata; Mammalia; Primates; Hominidae
Description: HSALNT0361243
Source: RNAcentral